This 1175-nucleotide unclassified non-coding RNA is filed under the name Hevea brasiliensis (rubber tree). Lineage: Eukaryota; Viridiplantae; Streptophyta; Magnoliopsida; Malpighiales; Euphorbiaceae. The record is from RNAcentral.
UCUCACAGCAUUGGAUUUGAUCUGUUAAGAAAAAGUGGACACUCAAGAUUUGAAAUUAAGUAUAAAACUGUCCAUGAAGGUUAUCAACCGUUUUCAACCUUGAAGUCUAGUAAAUAAUGGUUCACAAAAACAAACAUCACCUGAAACUCCAAAAUUUAAAAGUAAAGAUGGUGGGUCAGGGAAUUGCUGUAAAUGGAUCAGAGUGAAUGUUUAUGUGUCUUACAGAACAAUAAUUAUCAUGAAAACAUCAAUCAUAGACUCCACUACAUUUUGGUAUUCAAGGAUGGAAAGGAAAGGAAGGGAAAUUAUAUUCAGGAAAGGAUGAGAAAAGAACAUGUAUUAGACAAAUGAAGAUACCAUUUAAACAAAUCUUAAUUUAUCACGUAGUGCUCAUGCCUCAUGAACUGUUACAAUCUGCAGUGCAUAUAUGCUGUCAAAUGCAACAGACAAAAGAAACACUCUUAGUCCUGGCACACCACAAAUUAAAAAACCCUAAGAUUAUUACAGUUAGUUUUAAAUUUUUUGGUUAUUCCCUUUCCACACAUAUCAAUUGAUGGAUACCUUGGACUUGGCUCCACCCCUGCCCUGCCCUCCUCUUACUCCAUUUAUAUGUAUUUGCUAUUGUAAAGAAAAAACCAAUCUCACCAACAUCAUGAAAUAAUAAUAUAAUGACAUAAACACAGGAUUAAACAUGUAAUAACCUUAUGGUCCAUAUUCCAUAAACAAGCAUGAGUGAGGAACUGUGAAUAUUGGAAUCAGUGACCAUUAAUAACUACAUAUGUGUGAACGCAAAAGGAGUAAAAAAUAAUAAAACUGAUAGAAAUGACCUUGCUAAUACUGAUCAAUUCAUUUACCUUGUCACCAUCUUUCGUUAGACGCAAAGCACAAUCAGCUAAGAAUUCCAUUAAUCGAGUGUUUGCAUUUGAAUCUGACAACUUGUCUAAAGGAAAAUCAUUGAUACAGUGACGUAGAGAAUCACAAAUGUUUGCAAAAGCCCAUGAAGAUGUUAUUCGCACCAUAGCCAAGGGAUCAUGAGUGUUGAUCUCAAUCGCGUGGAUAAACUUGGCAAGAAUCUCUGCGCUGUGAGAUAUUUGUGGAAAACAAGAGAUGACACCAAUAGCUCGACAAGCAGCUGACCUAACUGAAGGAACCUCAUCAUCUACAGCAGCAUUGAU